Molecule: ribosomal RNA, 342 nt
Filed under: Triticum aestivum (bread wheat)
Lineage: Eukaryota; Viridiplantae; Streptophyta; Magnoliopsida; Poales; Poaceae
Description: partial small subunit ribosomal RNA
Source: RNAcentral
AUGGAAGCAGAAUUAAGAGCAUUAGACACAUCGGGUGGCGAAGAAGAAUGGCUUCGAGAUCUGUUGAUGGACUUGCCAGUGGUUGAGAAGCCGGUUCCGGCCGUCCUUAUGAACUGUGACAAUCAAACAGUUAUUGUCAAGGUGAAGAGUUCAAAGGACAACAUGAAGUCCAACAAACACAUAAGAAUGAGAUUGAAAGCUGUCAGAAAAUUGAGGAACUCCGGAGUGAUAGCAUUGGAUUAUAUUCAAACGGCUAAGAAUCUGGCAGAUCCCUUUACUAAAGGGCUAUCACGUGUUGUGAUAGAUAGCGCAUCAAGGGAGAUGGGUAUGAGACCCACAUGA